UACACUCCUGCGGGAGGCAGCAGUGGGGAAUAUUGCACAAUGGGCGGAAGCCUGAUGCAGCAACGCCGCGUGCGGGAUGACGGCCUUCGGGUUGUAAACCGCUUUCGCCUGUGACGAAGCGUGAGUGACGGUAAUGGGUAAAGAAGCACCGGCUAACUACGUGCCAGCAGCCGCGGUGAUACGUAGGGUGCGAGCGUUGUCCGGAUUUAUUGGGCGUAAAGGGCUCGUAGGUGGUUGAUCGCGUCGGAAGUGUAAUCUUGGGGCUUAACCCUGAGCGUGCUUUCGAUACGGGUUGACUUGAGGAAGGUAGGGGAGAAUGGAAUUCCUGGUGGAGCGGUGGAAUGCGCAGAUAUCAGGAGGAACACCAGUGGCGAAGGCGGUUCUCUGGGCCUUUCCUGACGCUGAGGAGCGAAAGCGUGGGGAGCGAACAGGCUUAGAUACCCCUGUAGUCCC
RNAcentral lists this ribosomal RNA (453 nucleotides) under uncultured organism. Its description in RNAcentral is "partial 16S ribosomal RNA". It matches the Rfam family "Bacterial small subunit ribosomal RNA", at positions 332 to 797 of the family's 1533-position model. The record is from RNAcentral.